GCGGGCGUGGCGGAACUGGUAGACGCGCCAGGUUUAGGUCCUGGUGGCCGUAAGGCCGUGGGGGUUCGAGUCCCUUCGCCCGCACCA
This 87-nucleotide transfer RNA is filed under the name Alphaproteobacteria bacterium. Its description in RNAcentral is "tRNA-Leu". It matches the Rfam family "tRNA". From Rfam's summary of the family: Transfer RNA (tRNA) molecules are approximately 80 nucleotides in length. Their secondary structure includes four short double-helical elements and three loops (D, anti-codon, and T loops). Further hydrogen bonds mediate the characteristic L-shaped molecular structure. tRNAs have two regions of fundamental functional importance: the anti-codon, which is responsible for specific mRNA codon recognition, and the 3' end, to which the tRNAs corresponding amino acid is attached (by aminoacyl-tRNA synthetases). tRNAs cope with the degeneracy of the genetic code in two manners: having more than one tRNA (with a specific anti-codon) for a particular amino acid; and 'wobble' base-pairing, i.e. permitting non-standard base-pairing at the 3rd anti-codon position. Lineage: Bacteria; Pseudomonadati; Pseudomonadota; Alphaproteobacteria. The record is from RNAcentral.